This is a long non-coding RNA of Glossina fuscipes, 3016 nucleotides long. RefSeq lists it as uncharacterized. The transcript is spliced from 2 exons. The record is from RefSeq and is a predicted model, not a curated record. Lineage: Eukaryota; Metazoa; Arthropoda; Insecta; Diptera; Glossinidae.
AAUUUCGUUGUAUUGAAUUCUUGAAUUCUCUUGCAAUAUUCGAUAAUGCAAACAUACACAUAUUCUAUUUGAAUUCUAAUCAUUACGGAAAAACACAUCUCUCAGUGAUUUCCUAGCACAUUUCAGACAACUAUUUAGAAAAACACUAUUCUGUACAGGGGUUUAUUAUCAAAGUUGAUAAUAGCAUUACAGGCAAUAAUCAUCCAAAAACUUAAAGCAUUCAAGCUGCGGUUCGCCGCAAUAGUCCGGAACGCUAACAGCAAGGUAUUGAAGAGUGAUCUGGUUUGGAGGAUGACGCACUUUUAUUUCAUAUAACCUAUAAAAUAUUUUCCGUGCCUUUGGGAUAACAUGUUUAGAUUAUCUGAAAAGUAUCUGGUCUGAACGUGAAGAUAACAGCACUUGUAUGACCCAAAUUUCUGCUAUUUGGACAAGCUAUUGUUUUUUGAAGUGUAAGUGCGAAAAUUUGAGUAACGGGCUGUCAAUAAAUAUUUGCAUUUAGCAAAAGCAACGGGAGUUCUGCAUCACGUGUUCCUACGCUAAAAUUUUGGCUGGUGGAAUUGAUAGGCGGCCGGUUACGUUCAUCGAUGAAAACGUCGCCCAAGGUCUUCAACUGGUCCUAGAUAAUCGUUCAAUUAAGGUUAGCAGGGUAACAGAGGCUGUGACUAUGUCUAAAGAAUGUGACAUAAGAAAGUGCCGAAUGCAACGUGUAGUUUUUGCUCAAAGGUGUAAAAAUUGUCGAUAUGCCUCAAGAUGUUCGCAUUGUCUGUUGAACAUAAAGAUCGUAGGUAGGUAUCGGAAGGAUGAAGGGACGGACAGACAAGCUUGUAUGGGAAAAUAAAGCGGUAUAAUAAAAAAGUGGUCCUUCUGUAAGUUCUUGUAAAUCUGCACGAAACUAAUAUAUAACGUAGGCUGUUAAGUGUAAGAAGACAUUAAGGAUUAAGAAGCAAUUCUUGUGUUAAAUUAAGUUUUAAGCGGGUGUCUUUCAGCUCAGAAACAAGUUGAAUAUUUCAAUAUAUUUUUUGGAUAAUGCGUUUGGCUCAUUAGCCGAAUAGGUUUUUAUGGGUUUGAUCUAAGUUCAUCAAGAAAGAGAUAGCAUUACUGCUAACUAUGGGAAUAUACUAGUUCACCCCGGGCAUAUUUCAAAAGGGAUGGAAGUUCAAGUUGCGAUUUGAAAAAAGUACUUAGGAUCAUCUAUUUUGUGAUCGAGAAAGUAAAGGUAAGCAAAAGGCGGGUUUGAUUGAGAUUUAGAUCAAAUUUUUUCUUCUUAAUGCAUUGUUUGGACCUUGCCAUUAUCUUUGGAAUACUAUACAUGCGUAAUUGUACAGCGUAUAGAAAUUGUUAAAACGUAUUGCGAAAACAAUAAGUCCGUGUUUACGUUUCGUGCACGUGAUGAAGCUUAUGUUUGGUUACAUGGCUUCCUAAAUGAGAAAAGUUGACCAUUUAGUCGAAAGAAAAUAAAUCCGUUGUUUCUAAAAAGCCCGUUCUUGCACAAAAAUGAAGUUUUGGGUGUGGUUUGCAGGCUGAAAGAUUGAUAAAUGGUUUUGCAAAACGCUGCAACAUACCAUACAUCCUGUGGUACCAUCAAAUUAUUGCGAGAAAAAUACAAUAACAAUGUAAUGUUGAGCAUUGGCGUACUUCAAUAAGCCGUGAAUUCUCAAUGACCUUAUUUGCCAAGAUUAUCUGUGUUGCUAGUGAAAUGAGAAGUGACUUAUGUGGAAAAGCGCCAAAAAUUGGCAUUCCACGAUUUCAGUCUUACAGAAGUUCAGAUGCGCUCAUUUUCACAAAAUCGUUUAUAACUGUCAGAAUGGCAUGAAUUAGUUUUUGAAAUAAAAAAAAUUGAUGUUGAUAUCUGUCAUCGUUUAAUUUUUAUUACAAUUUAAAACAAGUGAAAGCGCUACAAUGAGUCAUGGUCCAUUAUUAAAUCACGCAACAAAUAAAGCGUUAUACGGGAAGUGGUCAAAAAAGUGUGCCGACCCGAACUAUUUUCAGUAGGAUUCUCCCUUCGUCGGUUUAAGUUAAUAAAAUAGCAAUUAUAGUUUUUGAUCAGAAUAAUAGUCGAUUAGUAGCAAUUCAAAAUACUAAAGCGAUCGUGCUAAUGUUGGAUUAUCAGCUGCGAAUCCACUUCAGACGCAUUGAGGUAGAUAAUGACCUAAGUAAGGAAUUGCUGAUAAUAAAUUUGUAUCAACUGCAGUUCCUCAAAAAGAUACUUGACCUCAAGGUAGUACAUACUCUAUACAAAGCCGUAGCUAUUACUAAAAAUAGAAUCAUGUUGGUGUGUGUAAAUGUGAAUAAAAUAAAAUUCCUCGUCCAAUAUGAAAAUAAAUGCAAAUGAGAACAAGUAAGAAGGCCAUAUUCGGCGGGGGCCGAAUCUCGCAUACCCACCACCACUAUGUUAUUCGCACUCUACUAUUCAAGUUCUUUUAUUUGAUACCCAUAUCGUUGAUACUGUUAAGAAAAAAUUACUCACGGUGUCCACCAUACUCGUUUUAAAAUUGACCCAUUUUUAUUCAGAUAAUAUAUUUGAGUUGAGGAGUACAAAAUAGUUUUAAUCAUAAACGCUCAAAAAACCUAACUACAUGUAACUUUGUGUGGGCAUGGCCGAAUAUAUCCGUUUUUGCGCGUAAACAGUACAGUAUUUCGUAAAAUAAACUCGGAAUAUUUCAGCCUGGCAACUUUAAUAAUUUCCGAGUAACGAGGAAAAAUCCAAAAUUUUUUGUUAAAAAACCGAGUUGCGUUCAAUUUACGCUCCACUGCGCUGUUCUGCUCUGACCAAUUUGGCCCAUUUUCAAUGCCAACCUGCGUGGACAAACUUCCAACGAAACUUCUACGAAAUUUGAAAUCGAUAUUUUCAUUUUUGCGACCAGCAGAGUGCCAACAACACACACCACACGGAUAUACAGACGUGGGUAAAGCAACUCAGAAUCUCAAGCUGAUCAAGAAUAUGUACACUUUAGAGGGUCUCUGGAGCUUUCUUUUGGGAGUUACAUAUAUUAUGAAAAAAAAAAAAAAAAAAAAA